Chiroxiphia lanceolata (lance-tailed manakin) is the source of this 890-nucleotide long non-coding RNA. RefSeq lists it as uncharacterized. The record is from RefSeq and is a predicted model, not a curated record. The transcript has 4 exons. Lineage: Eukaryota; Metazoa; Chordata; Aves; Passeriformes; Pipridae.
UGACACAUCUCUAUAUGACCCUCUGCUUGCAGCAGCCUCAGCUCUGCAGCAGAAGGUGCUGACCCCAGGGGAGGAUGGAGGUCUGUACCUGCUUGGAGGGGAACACAAGGCAAUGUUACCUGGAGUGCCAGCAGCUGGGAUUGGUGGUCAAACAGGACAGCAGUGCCUGGCUAUAAACUUCACUUGGAUUGUAAGGCCUGCUCCAGCACACAGAGAGACCCAGGUGUUGGUGUGUCAUCAUUAAACCCGUAGCGAUGGGGAGCCAAGCUUACCUCUAGUCCCAGCUCUUCCUGGAGAGAUGUCCCUGGGGGACCCAGCAGUGGCAGAUCAGACUCAGUGCCACAAACAGGGUCAAGAACAAACGUCUGGCUCUUCAUGAACUGCUUGGAGGAAAAGGCAGCAGCAGGGCAAAAUGACAGGAAAUGCGAAGUAAAAACAUACUUUGACAUCCAAGCUAUAUCAUCCUGAGACAGCCAAACAUACCACAGUGUCUGAGCUAAUGAAUAUUGAAUUGUCCAGUGGGGGAGUGACUCAGAAAGCCUCAUCGGUGACAACGGAGUGACUGUUCUGUGCAGUAUGAUGACAGCCGUGAGUGUGGAGAGAUGUGUGUGUUCCUAAUAUUUUUAAAAAAAAGCCCCAGAGUCUUAUGGAGAAACCCACAGAUUGGGAAAUGAUAAAACUGUAAUUUCUAGUCUUGGUCCUGUUGGUGGUUCUCCUUACGGUCUCAGACAAGUUGUUUCUGUUUUCUGCUCUUUUUUUCUCUCCCUUAUCUUCAUAUGGUCUUGUCUAUUUAUACUGUAAGUUUUCCAUCACCUGGAAUUAUUCCUGGGAUAGUACCACAGAAUAAUUUCUGGAUUCGAUUUGAUUACAACAAAUAAAAUUCAGUGGGU